Molecule: ribosomal RNA, 799 nt
Filed under: uncultured Glomeromycotina
Lineage: Eukaryota; Fungi; Glomeromycota
Description: SSU rRNA
Rfam family: Eukaryotic small subunit ribosomal RNA
Source: RNAcentral
AUCAACUUUCGAUGGUAGGAUAGAGGCCUACCAUGGUGGUAACGGGUAACGGGGUGUUAGGGCACGACACCGGAGAGGGAGCCUGAGAAACGGCUACCACAUCCAAGGAUGGCAGCAGGCGCGCAAAUUACCCAAUCCCGACACGGGGAGGUAGUGACAAUAAAUAACAAUACGGGGUUCUUUCGGAUUUCGUAAUUGGAAUGAGUACAAUUUAAAUCUCUUAACGAUCAACAAUUGGAGGGCAAGUCUGGUGCCAGCAGCCGCGGUAAUUCCAGCUCCAAUAGCGUAUAUUAAAGUUGUUGCAGUUAAAAAGCUCGUAGUUGAAUUUCGGGAUCAGUAGGUCGGUCAUGCCUCAGGUAUGUACUGGUCUCACUGGUUCCUCCUUCCUGAUGAACCGUAAUGCCAUUAAUUUGGUGUUGCGGGGAAACUGGACUGUUACUUUGAAAAAAUUAGAGUGUUUAAAGCAAGCUAACGCUUGAAUACAUUAGCAUGGAAUAAUGAAAUAGGACGUUCGAUCCUAUUUUGUUGGUUUCUAGGAUUGACGUAAUGAUUAAUAGGGAUAGUUGGGGGCAUUAGUAUUCAAUUGUCAGAGGUGAAAUUCUUGGAUUUAUUGAAGACUAACUACUGCGAAAGCAUUUGCCAAGGAUGUUUUCAUUAAUCAAGAACGAAAGUUAGGGGAUCGAAGACGAUCAGAUACCGUCGUAGUCUUAACCAUAAACUAUGCCGACUAGGGAUCGGAUGAUGUUAAUUUUUUAAUGACUCAUUCGGCGCCUUACGGGAAACCAAAGUGUUUGGGUUC